This 663-nucleotide ribosomal RNA is filed under the name uncultured cyanobacterium. Its description in RNAcentral is "bacterial SSU rRNA". It matches the Rfam family "Bacterial small subunit ribosomal RNA", at positions 99 to 795 of the family's 1533-position model. The record is from RNAcentral. Lineage: Bacteria; Bacillati; Cyanobacteriota.
CGGACGGGUGAGUAACGCGUGAGAAUCUGGCUCUAGGUCUGGGACAACCACUGGAAACGGUGGCUAAUACCGGAUGUGCCGAGAGGUGAAAGGUUAACUGCCUAGAGAUGAGCUCGCGUCUGAUUAGCUAGUUGGAAGUGUAACGGACUCCCAAGGCGACGAUCAGUAGCUGGUCUGAGAGGACGAUCAGCCACACUGGGACUGAGACACGGCCCAGACUCCUACGGGAGGCAGCAGUGGGGAAUUUUCCGCAAUGGGCGAAAGCCUGACGGAGCAAUACCGCGUGAGGGAGGAAGGCUCUUGGGUCGUAAACCUCUUUUCUCAGGGAAGAACACAAUGACGGUACCUGAGGAAUAAGCAUCGGCUAACUCCGUGCCAGCAGCCGCGGUAAUACGGAGGAUGCAAGCGUUAUCCGGAAUGAUUGGGCGUAAAGCGUCCGCAGGUGGCAAUGUAAGUCUGCUGUUAAAGAGUCUAGCUCAACUAGAUAAGAGCAGUGGAAACUACAUAGCUAGAGUACGUUCGGGGCAGAGGGAAUUCCUGGUGUAGCGGUGAAAUGCGUAGAGAUCAGGAAGAACACCGGUGGCGAAGGCGCUCUGCUAGGCCGUAACUGACACUGAGGGACGAAAGCUAGGGGAGCGAAUGGGAUUAGAUACCCCAGUAGUC